Molecule: ribosomal RNA, 497 nt
Filed under: uncultured bacterium
Lineage: Bacteria
Description: partial 16S ribosomal RNA
Rfam family: Bacterial small subunit ribosomal RNA
Source: RNAcentral
GAUGAACGCUGGCGGCGUGCCUAAUACAUGCAAGUCGAGCGAACGGACGAGAAGCUUGCUUCUCUGAUGUUAGCGGCGGACGGGUGAGUAACACGUGGAUAACCUACCUAUAAGACUGGGAUAACUUCGGGAAACCGGAGCUAAUACCGGAUAAUAUUUUGAACCGCAUGGUUCAAAAGUGAAAGACGGUCUUGCUGUCACUUAUAGAUGGAUCCGCGCUGCAUUAGCUAGUUGGUAAGGUAACGGCUUACCAAGGCAACGAUGCAUAGCCGACCUGAGAGGGUGAUCGGCCACACUGGAACUGAGACACGGUCCAGACUCCUACGGGAGGCAGCAGUAGGGAAUCUUCCGCAAUGGGCGAAAGCCUGACGGAGCAACGCCGCGUGAGUGAUGAAGGUCUUCGGAUCGUAAAACUCUGUUAUUAGGGAGGAACAUAUGUGUAAGUAGCUGUGCACAUCUUGACGGUACCUAAUCAGAAAGCCACGGCUAACUACGUG